RNAcentral lists this ribosomal RNA (468 nucleotides) under uncultured bacterium. RNAcentral describes it as "partial 16S ribosomal RNA". It matches the Rfam family "Bacterial small subunit ribosomal RNA", at positions 28 to 507 of the family's 1533-position model. The record is from RNAcentral.
GACGAACGCUGGCGGCGUGCUUAACACAUGCAAGUCGAACGGAAAGGCCCUGCUUUUGUGGGGUGCUCGAGUGGCGAACGGGUGAGUAACACGUGAGUAACCUGCCCUUGACUUUGGGAUAACUUCAGGAAACUGGGGCUAAUACCGGAUAGGAGCUCCUGCUGCAUGGUGGGGGUUGGAAAGUUUCGGCGGUUGGGGAUGGACUCGCGGCUUAUCAGCUUGUUGGUGGGGUAGUUGCUUACCAAGGCAUUGACGGGUAGCCGGCCUGAGAGGGUGACCGGCCACAAUGGGACUAAGAGACGGCCCAGACUCCUACGGUAGGCAGCGGUGGGAAAUAUUGCACAAUGGGCGGGAGCCUGAGACAGCAGCGCCGGGUGCGGAAUGACGGCCUUCGGGUUGUAAACCGCUUUCGCCUGUGACGAAGCGUGAGUGACGGUAAUGGAUAAAGAAGCACCGGCUAACUACGUG